RNAcentral lists this ribosomal RNA (499 nucleotides) under uncultured bacterium. RNAcentral describes it as "partial 16S ribosomal RNA". It matches the Rfam family "Bacterial small subunit ribosomal RNA", at positions 28 to 507 of the family's 1533-position model. The record is from RNAcentral.
GACGAACGCUGGCGGCGUGCUUAACACAUGCAAGUCGAACGGGCCUGUCUUCUUUUUUGGGGGUGGGUUGAGUGGCGAACGGGUGAGUAUCACGUGAGUAACCUGCCCUUCGGUCCUGGAUAACCGCUUGAAAGGGCGGCUAAUACGGGGUGGUCCGGUUGGUCCGCAUGGGCUGGUCGGGAUAGAUUCACUGUUUUUGGUGUUUCGGCGGGGGAUGGGCUCGCGGCCUAUCAGCUUGUUGGUGGGGUGAUGGCCUACCAAGGCGGUGACGGGUAGCCGGCCUGAGAGGGUGGGCGGCCACACUGGGACUGAGAUACGGCCCAGACUCCUGCGGGAGGCAGCAGUGGGGGGUAUUGCACAAUGGGCGGAAGCCUGAUGCAGCGACGUCGCGUGAGGGAUGGAGGCCUUCGGGUUGUGAACCUCUGUUUCCGGUGGUGAAGGCCCUGUCCGUGUGGUGGGGUUGACGGUAGCCGAGGAUGAAGCGCCGGCUAACUACGUG